RNAcentral lists this ribosomal RNA (304 nucleotides) under uncultured bacterium. Its description in RNAcentral is "partial 16S ribosomal RNA". It matches the Rfam family "Bacterial small subunit ribosomal RNA", at positions 506 to 807 of the family's 1533-position model. The record is from RNAcentral.
CAGCAGUAGCCGCGGUAAUACGUAGGGUGCGAGCGUUAAUCGGAAUUACUGGGCGUAAAGCGUGCGCAGGCGGUUGUGUAAGACAGGUGUGAAAUCCCCGGGCUUAACCUGGGAACUGCGCUUGUGACUGCACAGCUAGAGUAUGGCAGAGAGGGGUGGAAUUCCACGUGUAGCAGUGAAAUGCGUAGAGAUGUGGAGGAACACCGAUGGCGAAGGCAGCCCCCUGGGCCAAUACUGACGCUCAUGCACGAAAGCGUGGGGAGCAAACAGGAUUAGAUACCCCCGUAGUCCCUGUCUCUUAUAC